GACGGUAAAAAGUUUUGGUUGUGAUUUCUAAUCUCAAGCCAGGGAGGUUAACGUCUUCCUUUCGUCU
Molecule: transfer RNA, 67 nt
Filed under: Catillopecten margaritatus
Lineage: Eukaryota; Metazoa; Mollusca; Bivalvia; Pectinida; Propeamussiidae
Description: Catillopecten sp. m YTL-2023 tRNA-Ser
Source: RNAcentral